CGGCAGCGACGCCGCGUGAGUGAUGAAGGCCUUCGGGUGUAAAGCGUCUGUGAGGGGGACGAAUGAGGGUUGGCUAACAUCCAGCUCGAUGACGGACCCCUUUAGCAAGCACCGGCUAACUCUGUGCCAGCAGCCGCGGUAAGACAGAGGGUGCAAACGUUGUUCGGAAUUACUGGGCGUAAAGCGCGUGUAGGCGGUUCGUAAAGUCAGGUGUGAAAGCCCUGGGCUUAACCCAGGAAGUGCACUUGAAACUCACGAACUUGAGUCCCGGAGAGGAAGGCGGAAUUCUCGGUGUAGAGGUGAAAUUCGUAGAUAUCGAGAGGAACAUCGGUGGCGAAGGCGGCCUUCUGGACGGUGACUGACGCUGAGACGCGAAAGCGUGGGGAGCAAACAGGAUUAGAUACCCUGGUAGUCCACGCCGUAAACGAUGGGUGCUAGGUGUCGCGGGCUUUGACCCCUGCGGUGCCGUAGCUAACGCAUUAAGCACCCCGCCUGGGGAGUACGGCCGCAAGGCUA
Molecule: ribosomal RNA, 516 nt
Filed under: uncultured Pseudomonadota bacterium
Lineage: Bacteria; Pseudomonadati; Pseudomonadota
Description: bacterial SSU rRNA
Rfam family: Bacterial small subunit ribosomal RNA
Source: RNAcentral